UACGAAGGGGGCUAGCGUUGCUCGGAAUCACUGGGCGUAAAGCGCACGUAGGCGGAUCUUUAAGUCAGAGGUGAAAUCCCAAGGCUCAACCUUGGAACUGCCUUUGAUACUGGGGAUCUCGAGUCCGGAAGAGGUUGGUGGAACUGCGAGUGUAGAGGUGAAAUUCGUAGAUAUUCGCAAGAACACCAGUGGCGAAGGCGGGUCUCUGGGCCGAAACUGACGCUGAGGAGCGAAAGCGUGGGGAGCAAACAGG
RNAcentral lists this ribosomal RNA (253 nucleotides) under uncultured bacterium. RNAcentral describes it as "partial 16S ribosomal RNA". It matches the Rfam family "Bacterial small subunit ribosomal RNA", at positions 524 to 776 of the family's 1533-position model. The record is from RNAcentral.